AUGUAUUGUGGCAAGUCUCGUGAUGCAACAAUUGUGCUAGAGGCCGUAGCAUCCGAGGAUUUAUGGAUUUGGCAUUGCUUUUUUGGUAUGCCGGGCACUCUCAAUGAUAUCAAUGUGUUGCAACGGUCCAUUUGUUUGCUAGGCUUGCUAGUGGUGAUGCUCCUGCUUGCAACUACACUAUCAAUGGGCAUGAAUACACAAAGGGGUACUAUCUUGCAGAUGGUAUAUACCCUCCUUGGUGCACAUUUGUCAAGAGCAUCAAAGAACCCAAAACAAAAAAACAAUGUGAAUUUGCAAGGGUGCAAGAGGCAGCCCUAA
This 318-nucleotide ribosomal RNA is filed under the name Triticum aestivum (bread wheat). RNAcentral's name for it is "partial small subunit ribosomal RNA". Lineage: Eukaryota; Viridiplantae; Streptophyta; Magnoliopsida; Poales; Poaceae. The record is from RNAcentral.